CAGAACCUACGGGGGGCAGCAGUAGGGAAUCUUCCACAAUGGACGAAAGUCUGAUGGAGCAACGCCGCGUGAGUGAAGAAGGGUUUCGGCUCGUAAAGCUCUGUUGGUAGUGAAGAAAGAUAGAGGUAGUAACUGGCCUUUAUUUGACGGUAAUUACUUAGAAAGUCACGGCUAACUACGUGCCAGCAGCUGCGGUAAUACGUAGGUGGCAAGCGUUUUUCGGAUUUAUUGGGC
This 234-nucleotide ribosomal RNA is filed under the name uncultured bacterium. Its description in RNAcentral is "partial 16S ribosomal RNA". It matches the Rfam family "Bacterial small subunit ribosomal RNA", at positions 332 to 559 of the family's 1533-position model. The record is from RNAcentral.